AAGUCGUAACAAGGUUUCCGUAGGUGAACCUGCGGAAGGAUCAUUACUAAUGUGAAUGUGUUGGGCAGCUGCCGCUCUUUCGGGAGGGAAGGCUGGCCGACACACCAAUGCUCGUGCUGGGAUGCUGUGGUCGUUUGGGGUUGCAGGUGGUUGUUUUGGACUGCAUGUGGGUGGGUUUUGCUCACCGACAUGCAGCCGGAAUGAUCUGUGCAACCUCAUUCGCACGCCAGCAUCGCGCACUUUCACGCUUGCAGUGUUUGACAGUUUCAUACCUCUAAAUAAUGACAACUUUUAACAACGGAUCUCUGGGCUCUU
Molecule: unclassified non-coding RNA, 315 nt
Filed under: fungal sp.
Lineage: Eukaryota; Fungi
Also listed under: 1 other name
Description: partial internal transcribed spacer region
Rfam family: Eukaryotic small subunit ribosomal RNA (bases 1-46)
Source: RNAcentral